This 492-nucleotide ribosomal RNA is filed under the name uncultured bacterium. RNAcentral's name for it is "partial 16S ribosomal RNA". It matches the Rfam family "Bacterial small subunit ribosomal RNA", at positions 30 to 507 of the family's 1533-position model. The record is from RNAcentral.
AUUGAACGCUGGCGGCAUGCUUUACACAUGCAAGUCGAACGGCAACGAGGAGAAGCUUGCUUCUCUGUCGGCGAGUGGCGAACGGGUGAGUAUAGCAUCGGAACGUGCCAAGUAGUGGGGGAUAACCAAACGAAAGUUUGGCUAAUACCGCGUAAGCUCUAAGGAGGAAAGUAGGGGACCUAAUAAGGCCUUACGCUAUUUGAUCGGCCGAUGUCGGAUUAGCUAGUUGGUGGGGUAAUGGCUCACCAAGGCAAUGAUCCGUAGCGGGUCUGAGAGGACGAUCCGCCACACUGGGACUGGGACACGGCCCAGACUCCUACGGGAGGCAGCAGUGGGGAAUUUUGGACAAUGGGGGAAACCCUGAUCCAGCCAUGCCGCGUGUAUGAAGAAGGCCUUAGGGUUGUAAAGUACUUUUGUUAGGGAAGAAAAGCUAGUUUUUAAUAAAAAUUAGUGAUGACGGUACCUAAAGAAUAAGCACCGGCUAACUACGUG